GCAAAUAUCCAAAUAUCAAACAUAUUUGAGGACAACUUGCCUUGUCAUUAUAAUACCAAGGAGUUUGAAAGCAAUUCUUGUAGCUCUAAUCUGCUAAGGUACCACUAAACAAGCAAGAUGAGCAAGGACAAGAAAGUGAGUGGGUACUCGGCGGUCUUGGUGUUGCUAGCCUCGUGCUUCAACGCCUCCGGUGAAGGCAAAGGGUCGAUGUCUUUAAAUAUAAAGCGGCACCUUCUGCUCCAGAGGCCACUAUGGUUGCUGCAGCUAAGCAUUUCUCAAGUGCUCAUAAAGUACGGUUCAAUUAAUUAGUUUCUCUGCUAAGUAUUUCCAGAUGAAGGAAUGCUAGAUAGGGUGUAUGUGUCGAUUCUUUUACUUGAUAUGUAUAGUGGAUACAGAUAAUUGUAUAAUUAUAAUUUUCACAUUUUUCUUAGAUGACAACAGAAGUAGGAUAGUUCAUAUGUAUUUGUUGUGAUUAAUAAAUUAAAAAAGACAGCUAAUUGGACUUUCUAAUUGUCAUAGUUUUUUUCUUUCAACUUCAGUUUACAUUAAUAGAAGAUCA
RNAcentral lists this long non-coding RNA (559 nucleotides) under Actinidia chinensis (golden kiwifruit). RNAcentral's name for it is "long non-coding RNA (ACHI_LNC008018)". Lineage: Eukaryota; Viridiplantae; Streptophyta; Magnoliopsida; Ericales; Actinidiaceae. The record is from RNAcentral.